RNAcentral lists this long non-coding RNA (372 nucleotides) under Capsella rubella. RNAcentral's name for it is "long non-coding RNA (CRUB_LNC001620)". The record is from RNAcentral. Lineage: Eukaryota; Viridiplantae; Streptophyta; Magnoliopsida; Brassicales; Brassicaceae.
AAAUUUAACAAUGGGUAUGAAUAAGUGUAUUACCUCAGUUGUUGGGUUGCUUCUCGUGUUGAUGAGAGAGACGAUGGAUUUUAAUGGAGGAGGAAGAGCUCGAUUAAGCUAUGGAGGAGGAUGGUGGAGAUCGCCAGAUCGUGGGUUGAAGGAGAGAUCCAUGUCAAUUAUUCUUUUUUUUUUUGUUUAAAUUAAGGAUUAAAAUAAGAAGGCCAAAAUAUGUCAAUAUUUAAGUCAACAAAUGGUCCAAGGGUAGUUAGAACAUGGAAGGGUAAGAAAGUAUAUAGACUUUAGUCAAAGGGCAUGAGAUAUUUUGGUCCAGAAAUUGAAUAACACUUGAAUUGUAUCAAAACUUAUUAUAUUAUUAUUUAC